Molecule: ribosomal RNA, 394 nt
Filed under: uncultured bacterium
Lineage: Bacteria
Description: bacterial SSU rRNA
Rfam family: Bacterial small subunit ribosomal RNA
Source: RNAcentral
UACCUCUUAGCAGGGGAUAACACUUUUGGAAACAAAUGCUAAUACCGUAUAAUAAUUAAAACCGCAUGGUUUUAGUUUAAAAGAUGGUCUUGCUAUCACUAAGAGAUGGUCCCGCGGUGUAUUAGUUAGUUGGUGAGGUAAUGGCUCACCAAGACAAUGAUACAUAGCCGAGUUGAGAGACUGACCGGCCACAAUGGGACUGAGACACGGCCCAUACUCCUACGGAGGCAGCAGUAGGGAAUCCUCCACAAUGGACGAAAGUCUGAUGGAGCAACGCCGCGUGUGUGAUGAAGGGUUUCGGCUCGUAAAACACUGUUGUAAGAGAAGAAUGACAUUGAGAGUAACUGUUCAAUGUGUGACGGUAUCUUACCAGAAAGGAACGGCUAAAUACGUG